CUAAGUUUGAUGGCGACCGGCGCACGGGUGAGUAACACGUAUCCAACCUGCCGAUGACUCGGGGAUAGCCUUUCGAAAGAAAGAUUAAUACCCGAUGGCAUAGUUCUUCCGCAUGGUAGAACUAUUAAAGAAUUUCGGUCAUCGAUGGGGAUGCGUUCCAUUAGGUUGUUGGCGGGGUAACGGCCCACCAAGCCUUCGAUGGAUAGGGGUUCUGAGAGGAAGGUCCCCCACAUUGGAACUGGGACACGGUCCAAACUCCUACGGGAGGCAGCAUG
RNAcentral lists this ribosomal RNA (275 nucleotides) under uncultured bacterium. RNAcentral describes it as "partial 16S ribosomal RNA". It matches the Rfam family "Bacterial small subunit ribosomal RNA", at positions 79 to 353 of the family's 1533-position model. The record is from RNAcentral.